This 253-nucleotide ribosomal RNA is filed under the name uncultured bacterium. Its description in RNAcentral is "partial 16S ribosomal RNA". It matches the Rfam family "Bacterial small subunit ribosomal RNA", at positions 524 to 776 of the family's 1533-position model. The record is from RNAcentral.
UACGGAGGGUGCAAACGUUGCUCGGAAUCAUUGGGCGUAAAGCGCACGUAGGCGGUCCGUUAAGUCGGGAGUGAAAGCCCUAGGCUCAACUUAGGAAGUGCUUUCGAAACUGGCGGACUUGAAUACUGAAGAGGAUCGCGGAAUUCCCGGUGUAGAGGUGAAAUUCGUAGAUAUCGGGAGGAACACCGGUGGCGAAGGCGGCGACCUGGGUCGAGACUGACGCUGAGGCGCGAAAGCGUGGGGAGCAAACAGG